Molecule: ribosomal RNA, 253 nt
Filed under: uncultured bacterium
Lineage: Bacteria
Description: partial 16S ribosomal RNA
Rfam family: Bacterial small subunit ribosomal RNA
Source: RNAcentral
UACGUAGGUGACAAGCGUUGUCCGGAUUUACUGGGUGUAAAGGGCGCGUAGGCGGGAUAGCAAGUCAGUCGUGAGAUGCCGAGGCUUAACCUCGGAGCUGCGAUUGAAACUGUUAUUCUUGAGUAUCGGAGAGGAAAGCGGAAUUCCUAGUGUAGCGGUGAAAUGCGUAGAUAUUAGGAGGAACACCAGUGGCGAAGGCGGCUUUCUGGACGACAACUGACGCUGAGGCGCGAAAGUGUGGGGAGCAAACAGG